This 460-nucleotide ribosomal RNA is filed under the name uncultured bacterium. RNAcentral's name for it is "partial 16S ribosomal RNA". It matches the Rfam family "Bacterial small subunit ribosomal RNA", at positions 338 to 795 of the family's 1533-position model. The record is from RNAcentral.
CCUACGGGUGGCAGCAGUGAGGAAUAUUGGUCAAUGGACGCAAGUCUGAACCAGCCAUGCCGCGUGCAGGAAGACGGCUCUAUGAGUUGUAAACUGCUUUUGUACGAGGGUAAACGCAGAUACGUGUAUCUGUCUGAAAGUAUCUUACGAAUAAGGAUCGGCUAACUCCGUGCCAGCAGCCGCGGUAAUACGGAGGAUUCAAGCGUUAUCCGGAUUUAUUGGGUUUAAAGGGUGCGUAGGCGGUCGGAUAAGUUAGAGGUGAAAGUUGGAGGCUCAACUUCGGAAUUGCCUAUGAUACUGGUAGGCUAGAGAGUAGUUGUGGUAGGCGGAAUGUGUGGUGUAGCGGUGAAAUGCUUAGAGAUCAUACAGAACACCGAUUGCGAAGGCAGCUUACCAAGCUACUUCUGACAUUGAGGCACGAAAGUGUGGGGAGCAAACAGGAUUAGAUACCCGGGUAGUC